GUCCACGCCGUAAACGAUGGGCACUAGGCGUCGGGGGGAGCGACCCUCCCGGUGCCGUCGCUAACGCAAUAAGUGCCCCGCCUGGGGAGUACGGCCGCAAGGUUGAAACUCAAAGGAAUUGACGGGGGCCCGCACAAGCGGUGGAGCAUGUGGUUUAAUUCGAUGCAACGCGAAGAACCUUACCUGGGCUUGACAUGCUGGUGAAAGCUGCUGGAAACAGCAGCCCUCCUUCGGGACGCCAGCACAGGUGCUGCAUGGCUGUCGU
Molecule: ribosomal RNA, 265 nt
Filed under: uncultured bacterium
Lineage: Bacteria
Description: partial 16S ribosomal RNA
Rfam family: Bacterial small subunit ribosomal RNA
Source: RNAcentral